GAUGAACGCUGGCGGCGUGCCUAAUACAUGCAAGUCGAGCGAACAGACGAGGAGCUUGCUCCUCUGACGUUAGCGGCGGACGGGUGAGUAACACGUGGAUAACCUACCUAUAAGACUGGGAUAACUUCGGGAAACCGGAGCUAAUACCGGAUAAUCUAUUGAACCGCAUGGUUCAAUAGUGAAAGACGGUUUUGCUGUCACUUAUAGCUGGAUCCGCGCCGCAUUAGCUAGUUGGUAAGGUAACGGCUUACCAAGGCGACGAUGCGUAUCCGACCUGAGAGGGUGAUCGGCCGCACUGGAACUGAGACGCGGUCCAGACGCCUACGGGAGGCAGCAGUAGGGAAUCUUCCGCAAUGGGCGAAAGCCUGACGGAGCAACGCCGCGUGAGUGAUGAAGGUCUUCGGAGCGUAAAACUCUGUUAUGAGUGAAGAACAAAUGUGUAAGUAACUAUGCACGUCUUGACGGUACCGAGUCAGAAAGCCACGGCUAACUACGUG
RNAcentral lists this ribosomal RNA (497 nucleotides) under uncultured bacterium. Its description in RNAcentral is "partial 16S ribosomal RNA". It matches the Rfam family "Bacterial small subunit ribosomal RNA", at positions 28 to 507 of the family's 1533-position model. The record is from RNAcentral.